GACGAACGCUGGCGGCGUGCUUAACACAUGCAAGUCGAACGGAAAGGCCCUGCUUUUGUGGGGUGCUCGAGUGGCGAACGGGUGAGUAACACGUGAGUAACCUGCCCUUGACUUUGGGAUAACUUCAGGAAACUGGGGCUAAUACCGGAUAGGAGCUCCUGCUGCAUGGUGGGGGUUGGAAAGUUUCGGCGGUUGGGGAUGGACUCGCGGCUUAUCAGCUUGUUGGUGGGGUAGUGGCUUACCAAGGCUUUGACGGGUAGCCGGCCUGAGAGGGUGACCGGCGACAUUGGGACUGAGAUACGGCCCAGACUGCGACGGGAGGCAGCAGUGGGGAAUAUUGCACAAUGGGCGGAAGCCUGAUGCAGCAACGCCGCGUGCGGGAUGACGGCCUUCGGGUUGUAAACCGCUUUCGCCUGUGACGAAGCGUGAGUGACGGUAAUGGGUAAAGAAGCACCGGCUAACUACGUG
This 468-nucleotide ribosomal RNA is filed under the name uncultured bacterium. RNAcentral describes it as "partial 16S ribosomal RNA". It matches the Rfam family "Bacterial small subunit ribosomal RNA", at positions 28 to 507 of the family's 1533-position model. The record is from RNAcentral.